CUUCCUACGGGAGGCAGUAGUGGGGGAUAUUGGACAAUGGGGGAAACCCUGAUCCAGCGAUGCCGCGUGAGGGAAGAAGGUUUUCGGAUUGUAAACCUCUGUGGACAGGGACGAUAAUGACGGUACCUGUCGAAUAAGCCACGGCUAACUACGUGCCAGCAGCCGCGGUAAUACGUAGGUGGCAAGCGUUGUCCGGAUUUACUGGGUGUAAAGGGCGUGUAGCCGGGUUGACAAGUCAGAUGUGAAAUCCUGCGGCUUAACCGCAGAACUGCAUUUGAAACUGUUGAUCUUGAGUACUGGAGAGG
Molecule: ribosomal RNA, 305 nt
Filed under: uncultured bacterium
Lineage: Bacteria
Description: bacterial SSU rRNA
Rfam family: Bacterial small subunit ribosomal RNA
Source: RNAcentral